RNAcentral lists this ribosomal RNA (332 nucleotides) under Solobacterium sp. Its description in RNAcentral is "bacterial SSU rRNA". It matches the Rfam family "Bacterial small subunit ribosomal RNA", at positions 1198 to 1533 of the family's 1533-position model. Lineage: Bacteria; Bacillati; Bacillota; Erysipelotrichia; Erysipelotrichales; Erysipelotrichaceae. The record is from RNAcentral.
CCCCUUAUGUUCUGGGCUACACACGUGCUACAAUGGCCGGUACAACAGGCAGCGAACCCGUGAGGGGGAGCGAAUCCCAAAAGCCGGUCCCAGUUCGGACUGUAGGCUGCAACUCGCCUACACGAAGUUGGAGUUGCUAGUAAUCGCGGAUCAGAAUGCCGCGGUGAAUGCGUUCCCGGGUCUUGUACACACCGCCCGUCACACCAUGGAAGUUGGGGGUGCCCGAAGUCGGUUAGUUAAUCUAUCGCCUAAGGCAAAACCAAUGACUGGGGUGAAGUCGUAACAAGGUAGCCGUAUCGGAAGGUGCGGCUGGAUCACCUCCUUUCUAAGGA